This 253-nucleotide ribosomal RNA is filed under the name uncultured bacterium. RNAcentral's name for it is "partial 16S ribosomal RNA". It matches the Rfam family "Bacterial small subunit ribosomal RNA", at positions 524 to 776 of the family's 1533-position model. The record is from RNAcentral.
UACAGAGGAUGCAAGCGUUAUCCGGAAUGAUUGGGCGUAAAGCGUCUGUAGGUGGCUUUUUAAGUCCGCCGUCAAAUCCCAGGGCUCAACUCUGGACAGGCGGUGGAAACUACCAAGCUGGAGUACGGUAGGGGCAGAGGGAAUUUCCGGUGGAGUGGUGAAAUGCGUAGAGAUGUGGAGGAACACCGAUGGCGAAGGCAGCCCCCUGGGUCAAGAUUGACGCUCAUGCACGAAAGCGUGGGAAGCAAACAGG